RNAcentral lists this ribosomal RNA (253 nucleotides) under uncultured bacterium. Its description in RNAcentral is "partial 16S ribosomal RNA". It matches the Rfam family "Bacterial small subunit ribosomal RNA", at positions 524 to 776 of the family's 1533-position model. The record is from RNAcentral.
UACGUAGGGUGCAAGCGUUAUCCGGAAUUAUUGGGCGUAAAGAGCUCGUAGGCGGUUUGUCGCGUCUGCUGUGAAAGCUGGAGGCUCAACCUCCAGCCUGCAGUGGGUACGGGCAAACUAGAGUGCGGUAGGGGAGAUUGGAAUUCCUGGUGUAGCGGUGGAAUGCGCAGAUAUCAGGAGGAACACCGAUGGCGAAGGCAGAUCUCUGGGCCGUAACUGACGCUGAGGAGCGAAAGCAUGGGGAGCGAACAGG